RNAcentral lists this ribosomal RNA (253 nucleotides) under uncultured bacterium. Its description in RNAcentral is "partial 16S ribosomal RNA". It matches the Rfam family "Bacterial small subunit ribosomal RNA", at positions 524 to 776 of the family's 1533-position model. The record is from RNAcentral.
UACGUAGGUGGCAAGCGUUGUCCGGAUUUACUGGGCGUAAAGGAUGCGUAGGCGGAUAUUUAAGUCAGAUGUGAAAUUCCCGAGCUUAACUUGGGAGCUGCAUUUGAAACUGGGUAUCUAGAGUGUUGGAGAGGAAAGUGGAAUUCCUAGUGUAGCGGUGAAAUGCGUAGAGAUUAGGAAGAACCCCAGUGGCGAAGGCGACUUUCUGGACAAUAACUGACGCUGAGGCAUGAAAGCGUGGGGAGCAAACAGG